This 476-nucleotide ribosomal RNA is filed under the name uncultured bacterium. Its description in RNAcentral is "bacterial SSU rRNA". It matches the Rfam family "Bacterial small subunit ribosomal RNA", at positions 9 to 480 of the family's 1533-position model. The record is from RNAcentral.
GAGUUUGAUCAUGGCUCAGAUUGAACGCUGGCGGCAGGCCUAACACAUGCAAGUCGAGCGGUAGAGAGAAGCUUGCUUCUCUUGAGAGCGGCGGACGGGUGAGUAAUGCCUAGGAAUCUGCCUGGUAGUGGGGGAUAACGCUCGGAAACGGACGCUAAUACCGCAUACGUCCUACGGGAGAAAGCAGGGGACCUUCGGGCCUUGCGCUAUCAGAUGAGCCUAGGUCGGAUUAGCUAGUUGGUGAGGUAAUGGCUCACCAAGGCGACGAUCCGUAACUGGUCUGAGAGGAUGAUCAGUCACACUGGAACUGAGACACGGUCCAGACUCCUACGGGAGGCAGCAGUGGGGAAUAUUGGACAAUGGGCGAAAGCCUGAUCCAGCCAUGCCGCGUGUGUGAAGAAGGUCUUCGGAUUGUAAAGCACUUUAAGUUGGGAGGAAGGCAGUAAAUUAAUACUUUAGCUGUUUGUACGUUACCG